UGGAAUAUUGCUUAGUGAUAGAGCAUUUGCCUAGCAUGCACAAGGCCCCGCUUGGGUUGUCUUCCCAAUAUUGCAA
RNAcentral lists this transfer RNA (76 nucleotides) under Ictidomys tridecemlineatus (thirteen-lined ground squirrel). RNAcentral describes it as "Spermophilus tridecemlineatus (thirteen-lined ground squirrel) tRNA". It matches the Rfam family "tRNA". Rfam says of the family: Transfer RNA (tRNA) molecules are approximately 80 nucleotides in length. Their secondary structure includes four short double-helical elements and three loops (D, anti-codon, and T loops). Lineage: Eukaryota; Metazoa; Chordata; Mammalia; Rodentia; Sciuridae. The record is from Rfam by way of RNAcentral.